This is a non-coding RNA of Oncorhynchus mykiss (rainbow trout), 491 nucleotides long. The record is from RefSeq and is a predicted model, not a curated record. NCBI's taxonomy places the organism in Eukaryota, Metazoa, Chordata, Actinopteri, Salmoniformes, Salmonidae.
CAACCUUUUCCAUUCUUCCCUCCAAGACCAUCUGACCAUGUGCAUUUACCUCAUACAUAUCCUAGUGUGAACAACUACCUCACUCAAGGUAAGGGACUCAAGAUGUGGAGCCCUCAUGACUGAUCAAGCAUUAGUAUGAAGAACUAAACAUGGUGGAUGAGGACAAACAGGAUCGGGAGGAGGACAGAGUUAAAGUGGCGUGAUAUUGCCUGAGCAUCAGCAUAACUGAACAACACAGACAGCAAAAUGAUGUUCAUCAGCAAAGAAAGAGGGUCAGGAAUGGGUGGUUGUCACAACAGCGUGCUAAGUAUUGAUGUCUCACAAGACAUCACGUUAAACGUUUGACCAUAACAUACACAUACUGUAACUUUACUAUUUUAUUUGCUUCCUGCUCCUGUGUUGUUUAAAUGUAUUGUACAGUUUGUAAUGUUCCUGCAAAUAAUUAUAAAACAACUAUUUGAAGUUAAGUUAAUAAAGAACAGAAAAUGUAA